GAGGGUAUAGCUCAAGUGGUAGAGCACAUGCUUAGCAUGCACGAGCUCCUGAGUUCAAUCCUCAGUCCCUUCU
RNAcentral lists this transfer RNA (73 nucleotides) under Camelus bactrianus (Bactrian camel). It matches the Rfam family "tRNA". From Rfam's summary of the family: Transfer RNA (tRNA) molecules are approximately 80 nucleotides in length. Lineage: Eukaryota; Metazoa; Chordata; Mammalia; Artiodactyla; Camelidae. The record is from Rfam by way of RNAcentral. RNAcentral also lists the same sequence under 2 other names.